CCCUUAGAGUUUGAUCCUGGCUCAGAUUGAACGCUGGCGGCAUGCCUUACACAUGCAAGUCGAGCGGCAGCGCGGGGGCAACCCUGGCGGCGAGCGGCGAACGGGUGAGUAACGCAUCGGAACGUGUCCUCUUGUGGGGGAUAACCAGUCGAAAGAUUGGCUAAUACCGCAUGAGAUCGAGAGAUGAAAGCAGGGGACCGCAAGGCCUUGCGCGAGAGGAGCGGCCGAUGCCGGAUUAGCUAGUUGGUGGGGUAAUAGCCCACCAAGGCGACGAUCCGUAGCUGGUCUGAGAGGACGACCAGCCACACUGGGACUGAGACACGGCCCAGACUCCUACGGGAGGCAGCAGUGGGGAAUUUUGGACAAUGGGGGCAACCCUGAUCCAGCCAUGCCGCGUGUGUGAAGAAGGCCUUCGGGUUGUAAAGCACUUUCGGACGGAACGAAAUCGUCCCCGUUAAUAGCGGGGAUGGAUGACGGUACCGUAAGAAGAAGCACCGGCUAACUACGUGCCAGCAGCCGCGGUAAUACGUAGGGUGCGAGCGUUAAUCGGAAUUACUGGGCGUAAAGUGUGCGCAGGCGGCGUCGCAAGUCGAGUGUGAAAGCCCCGAGCUUAACUUGGGAACUGCGCUCGAAACUACGGUGCUGGAGUAUGGC
Molecule: ribosomal RNA, 654 nt
Filed under: uncultured bacterium
Lineage: Bacteria
Description: bacterial SSU rRNA
Rfam family: Bacterial small subunit ribosomal RNA
Source: RNAcentral